AGCGGUAGAGUCUCUUCGGAGACUUGAGAGCGGCGCACGGGUGCGGAACACGUGUGCAACCUGCCUUUAUCUGGGGGAUAGCCUUUCGAAAGGAAGAUUAAUACCCCAUAAUAUACUUGAUGGCAUCAUCUGGUAUUGAAAACUCCGGUGGAUAGAGAUGGGCACGCGCAAGAUUAGAUAGUUGGUGAGGUAACGGCUCACCAAGUCAGCGAUCUUUAGGGGGCCUGAGAGGGUGAUCCCCCACACUGGUACUGAGACACGGACCAGACUCCUACGGGAGGCAGCAGUGAGGAAUAUUGGACAAUGGGUGAGAGCCUGAUCCAGCCAUCCCGCGUGAAGGACGACGGCCCUAUGGGUUGUAAACUUCUUUUGUAUAGGGAUAAACCUAGAUACGUGUAUCUAGCUGAAGGUACUAUACGAAUAAGCACCGGCUAACUCCGUGCCAGCAGCCGCGGUAAUACGGAGGGUGCAAGCGUUAUCCGGAUUUAUUGGGUUUAAAGGGUCCGUAGGCGGAUCUGUAAGUCAGUGGUGAAAUCUCACAGCUUAACUGUGAAACUGCCAUUGAUACUGCAAGUCUUGAGUGUUGUUGAAGUAGCUGGAAUAAGUAGUGUAGCGGUGAAAUGCAUAGAUAUUACUUAGAACACCAAUUGCGAAGGCAGGUUACUAAGCAACAACUGACGCUGAUGGACGAAAGCGUGGGGAGCGAACAGGAUUAGAUACCCUGGUAGUCCACGCCGUAAACGAUGCUAACUCGUUUUUGGGUUUUCGGAUUCAGAGACUAAGCGAAAGUGAUAAGUUAGCCACCUGGGGAGUACGAACGCAAGUUUGAAACUCAAAGGAAUUGACGGGGGCCCGCACAAGCGGUGGAUUAUGUGGUUUAAUUCGAUGAUACGCGAGGAACCUUACCAAGGCUUAAAUGGGAAAUGACAGGUUUAGAAAUAGACUUUUCUUCGGACAUUUUUCAAGGUGCUGCAUGGUUGUCGUCAGCUCGUGCCGUGAGGUGUUAGGUUAAGUCCUGCAACGAGCGCAACCCCUGUCACUAGUUGCCAUCAUUAAGUUGGGGACUCUAGUGAGACUGCCUACGCAAGUAGAGAGGAAGGUGGGGAUGACGUCAAAUCAUCACGGCCCUUACGCCUUGGGCCACACACGUAAUACAAUGGCCGGUACAGAGGGCAGCUACACAGUGAUGUGAUGCAAAUCUCGAAAGCCGGUCUCAGUUCGGAUUGGAGUCUGCAACUCGACUCUAUGAAGCUGGAAUCGCUAGUAAUCGCGCAUCAGCCAUGGCGCGGUGAAUACGUUCCCGGGCCUUGUACACACCGCCCGUCAAGCCAUGGAAGUCUGGGGUACCUGAAGUCGGUGACCGUAACA
This 1368-nucleotide ribosomal RNA is filed under the name Chryseobacterium bernardetii. Its description in RNAcentral is "bacterial SSU rRNA". It matches the Rfam family "Bacterial small subunit ribosomal RNA", at positions 65 to 1441 of the family's 1533-position model. The record is from RNAcentral. Lineage: Bacteria; Pseudomonadati; Bacteroidota; Flavobacteriia; Flavobacteriales; Weeksellaceae.